This 110-nucleotide small nuclear RNA is filed under the name Procavia capensis (Cape rock hyrax). The record is from RNAcentral. Lineage: Eukaryota; Metazoa; Chordata; Mammalia; Hyracoidea; Procaviidae.
GUGCUGGAUUUGAGUCACCGAGCGUGUGUACCAAAAUUGGAAUGAUGCAGAAAAGACUAGCAUCGCCCCCGUACAAGGAUAACACGCACAUUCCAAGGUCACAUGAUUAU